GGGUCUGAGUGCAGUGGCGUUUACAACUUACUGAACACAACCAGUUACCAAUUUCUUUGUUCCUUUUCCACUCCCACUGUUUCACUUGACUAGCCUUGA
Molecule: Y RNA, 99 nt
Filed under: Saimiri boliviensis boliviensis (Bolivian squirrel monkey)
Lineage: Eukaryota; Metazoa; Chordata; Mammalia; Primates; Cebidae
Description: Y RNA (ENSSBOG00000000065.1)
Rfam family: Y RNA
About the family: Y RNAs are components of the Ro ribonucleoprotein particle (Ro RNP), in association with Ro60 and La proteins. The Y RNAs and Ro60 and La proteins are well conserved, but the function of the Ro RNP is not known.
Source: Rfam by way of RNAcentral